Molecule: ribosomal RNA, 253 nt
Filed under: uncultured bacterium
Lineage: Bacteria
Description: partial 16S ribosomal RNA
Rfam family: Bacterial small subunit ribosomal RNA
Source: RNAcentral
CACGUAGGGCGCAAGCGUUGUCCGGAAUUAUUGGGCGUAAAGAGCUCGUAGGCGGUCUGUUGCGUCCGCUGUGAAAACUCGGGGCUUAACCCCGAGCCUGCAGUGGAUACGGGCAGACUAGAGGUAGGUAGGGGAGAAUGGAAUUCCCGGUGUAGCGGUGAAAUGCGCAGAUAUCGGGAGGAACACCGGUGGCGAAGGCGGUUCUCUGGGCCUUACCUGACGCUGAGGUGCGAAAGCGUGGGGAGCGAACAGG